RNAcentral lists this ribosomal RNA (483 nucleotides) under uncultured bacterium. RNAcentral describes it as "bacterial SSU rRNA". It matches the Rfam family "Bacterial small subunit ribosomal RNA", at positions 30 to 535 of the family's 1533-position model. The record is from RNAcentral.
AUUGAACGCUGGCGGCAUGCCUAACACAUGCAAGUCGAACGGAGAUAGGGGCAACCUUAUUUCAGUGGCGGACGGGUGAGGAAUGCGUCGGAAUCUGCCCUAUGGUGGGGGAUAACACAGGGAAACUUGUGCUAAUACCGCAUAAUGUCGAGAGACCAAAGCAGGGGACCGCAAGGCCUUGCGCGAUAGGAUGAGCCGACGCCCGAUUAGCUUGUUGGUAGGGUAAUGGCCUACCAGGGCGACGAUCGGUAGCUGGUCUGAGAGGAUGAUCAGCCACACUGGGACUGAGACACGGCCCAGACUCCUACGGGAGGCAGCAGUGGGGAAUCUUAGACAAUGGGGGAAACCCUGAUCUAGCCAUGCCGCGUGGACGAUGAAGGCCUUAGGGUUGUAAAGUCCUUUCAGCUGGGAAGAUAAUGACGGUACCAGCAGAAGAAGCCCCGGNUAACUCCGUGCCAGCAGCCGCGGUAAUGUCGAUAUCGC